UACGUGGGGUGCAAGCGUUGUCCGGAAUUAUUGGGCGUAAAGAGCUCGUAGGCGGUUUGUCGCGUCUGCUGUGAAAACUCAGGGCUUAACCCUGAGCCUGCAGUGGGUACGGGCAGACUAGAGUGUGGUAGGGGAGAUCGGAAUUCCUGGUGUAGCGGUGGAAUGCGCAGAUAUCAGGAGGAACACCGGUGGCGAAGGCGGAUCUCUGGGCCAUAACUGACGCUGAGGAGCGAAAGCAUGGGGAGCGAACAGG
This 253-nucleotide ribosomal RNA is filed under the name uncultured bacterium. RNAcentral describes it as "partial 16S ribosomal RNA". It matches the Rfam family "Bacterial small subunit ribosomal RNA", at positions 524 to 776 of the family's 1533-position model. The record is from RNAcentral.